UACGUAGGGUGCAAGCGUUGUUCGGAAUUACUGGGCGUAAAGGGCGCGUAGGUGGCGGCCCAAGUCCAUGGUGAAAGCUCGUCGCUCAACGACGAGUCGGCCACGGAUACUGGGUUGCUCGAGCACUGUAGAGGCAGAUGGAAUUCCGGGUGUAGCGGUGGAAUGCGUAGAGAUCCGGAAGAACACCGGUGGCGAAGGCGGUCUGCUGGGCAGUAGCUGACACUGAGGCGCGACAGCGUGGGGAGCAAACAGG
Molecule: ribosomal RNA, 253 nt
Filed under: uncultured bacterium
Lineage: Bacteria
Description: partial 16S ribosomal RNA
Rfam family: Bacterial small subunit ribosomal RNA
Source: RNAcentral